Molecule: ribosomal RNA, 394 nt
Filed under: uncultured bacterium
Lineage: Bacteria
Description: bacterial SSU rRNA
Rfam family: Bacterial small subunit ribosomal RNA
Source: RNAcentral
AUUGAACGCUAGCGGGAUGCCUUACACAUGCAAGUCGAACGGCAGCGCGGACUUCGGUCUGGCGGCGAGUGGCGAACGGGUGAGUAAUGUAUCGGAACGUGCCCAGUAGCGGGGGACAACCACUCGAAAGAGUGGCUAAUACCGCAUACGCCUACGGGGAAAGGGGGGAGUCGCAAGACCUCUCACUAUUGGAGCGGCCGAUAUCGGAUUAGCUAGUUGGUGGGGUAAAGGCCUACCAAGGCGACGAUCCGUAGCUGGUUUGAGAGGACGACCAGCCACACUGGGACUGAGACACGGCCCAGACUCCUACGGGAGGCAGCAGUGGGGAAUUUUGGACAAUGGGGGAAACCCUGAUCCAGCCAUUCCGCGUGUGCGAUGAAGGCCUCGGUUGUAA